This 902-nucleotide long non-coding RNA is filed under the name Pogona vitticeps (central bearded dragon). RNAcentral's name for it is "lncRNA (ENSPVIG00000016936.1)". The record is from RNAcentral. Lineage: Eukaryota; Metazoa; Chordata; Lepidosauria; Squamata; Agamidae.
CUUUUCAGGUCUAUAGCUCAAAUUGUGGGGCUGUCAGCUACCCCUGAGGGAAAACUUUACCCAAUAUCAUCUCAAAAACAAACUAUAUGUGUUUGUGGAAAAAAAUAAAGCUAAAAGACAAAACUUGACAUGGAGAGAAAAAGAUGAUUUUCUUUGGGAUGGUUUUCUUUUGCGCUUGCAACCUUAAAUGAUUGACUCUAUAUCUGAAUGUACAUUUUUCUGGAUUUAAUACAAAUAUGAAAUGUUGACUCGGACACGACUAAACGACUAAACAAACAUAAACAAUACAAAUAUGAAAUGUUGACCUCAUCCCUUGUUUCUUUCAUGUUCUCUCUUUCAAGAUGGUGCAGUGAGCGGAUGCACCUCCAUACUGCUCCAGUGCAACCUCUAUUUUGGUAAACUUGUGAAACCGAACAGAAAUUUCUCUCCCGUCUUUCUGCUCUCCAUCUGGAAAAAGCUUAUCCGAAACCAUGGGGAAGAGGAGAAGACCCGAAUACCCUUCUAGCCAAGAUAAUAUGCCAAUUAAGACAUCAAAACAGAGAUGUCUGGAAGACUGUCUGGUGUGGUCAGACAUAGCAGACUUUGAGGGUCCCAAGGUCGAUGAGUCCUGGACAACUGCCUAGCCUUCAACUAACGGCUUCCAGAGUGCAAGCAACAGAGAUGAUUCUUCAUCUGUAUCAAGCCUAGGUGCCCUGUCAUUGAUAUCCCAUCUAAAAGCAACCACUGACACCAUUGGAAGUUCUUUAUUAAAGCUAAAAUCUUCUCAUCCUGAGUUUCAUGUGGAAGCUCACUUGUCCCAUCCCAGUUCAAGCAGCACCCAGAGCAUCAAAAAAGACAAAAGAAAAAGAAAAAGUAGGGAGCUUUGUAAUAAGUCUCCUCUUGAUCUCCUAGUACCUAAGUCU